GACGAACGCUGGCGGCGUGCUUAACACAUGCAAGUCGAACGGGGCUAUUUGAUUUCGAUUAAAUAGUCUAGUGGCGAACGGGUGAGUAACGCGUGAAUGACCUGACCUAAAGAGGGGGAUAACAACGAGAAAUCGUUGCUAAUACCGCAUAGGACCACACUGCCGCAUGGCAGAGAGGUGAAAGGAGAAAUCCGCUUAAGGAGGGGUUCGCGUCCCAUUAGGUAGUAGGCGGGGUAAAGGCCCACCUAGCCGACGAUGGGUAGCCGAGCUGAGAGGCUGAACGGCCACACUGGAACUGAGACACGGUCCAGACUCCUACGGGAGGCAGCAGUGGGGAAUAUUGGGCAAUGGGCGAAAGCCUGACCCAGCAACGCCGCGUGAGGGAAGAAGGUCUUCGGAUUGUAAACCUCUGUCCUUGGAGACGAAGGAAGUGACGGUAACCAAGGAGGAAGCCCCGGCUAACUACGUG
RNAcentral lists this ribosomal RNA (469 nucleotides) under uncultured organism. RNAcentral's name for it is "bacterial SSU rRNA". It matches the Rfam family "Bacterial small subunit ribosomal RNA", at positions 28 to 507 of the family's 1533-position model. The record is from RNAcentral.